CUAAAAAAAUUUUUGAGUGAAAUUAAAACUUUCUUUUUUUAUGUCGAUUGCUUGUGAUUUUUCUUUAAGAACUAGGAUUAGAUACCCUAUUACUAAAAGGUUAGUAUAAAGUAGUAAUGAAUAAAUCUAAAACUUAAUUUUUCUGGCGGUUCACUAUUCUUUUAGAGGAGCUUGUUUAGGUAAAUUGAUAACCCGCCUUUAUUUUCUCUACCCUUUACUUUAUGUACGGCUGUGAAGCUAUAAUUUUCAGGUUAUUGCUAUAAUCUUUGUAAGACGCAAUUCAGGUCAAUGUGUAGGUGAUAGGGUAGUCUUAAUUGAGCUACUUUUAUUUUUUCAAGGAUUAUAAACUUUUACUUAUGCUUUAAAUUGGAUUUAAUAGUAAAAUAGAAAUUAAACUUUUAUUUGGUUAAGAUCUGGGUGAAAGUACAUAUCGCCCGUCGCUCUUUUGAUAGAUAAGUCGUAACAAAGUAGGAGUACUGGAAGGUGCUUCUUGUUU
This 496-nucleotide ribosomal RNA is filed under the name Sancassania sp. PBK-2009. RNAcentral describes it as "partial 12S ribosomal RNA". Lineage: Eukaryota; Metazoa; Arthropoda; Arachnida; Sarcoptiformes; Acaridae. The record is from RNAcentral.